UGUGGGGAUGAUUCCUUAGACUAGAGUCUCUGAUUUUAUAUGAAGCUCUACAGUGCGCUGAACA
Molecule: small nucleolar RNA, 64 nt
Filed under: Astyanax mexicanus (Mexican tetra)
Lineage: Eukaryota; Metazoa; Chordata; Actinopteri; Characiformes; Acestrorhamphidae
Description: Small nucleolar RNA SNORD52 (ENSAMXG00000035503.1)
Source: RNAcentral